Molecule: ribosomal RNA, 360 nt
Filed under: Rhizobium leguminosarum
Lineage: Bacteria; Pseudomonadati; Pseudomonadota; Alphaproteobacteria; Hyphomicrobiales; Rhizobiaceae
Description: bacterial SSU rRNA
Rfam family: Bacterial small subunit ribosomal RNA
Source: RNAcentral
CGUGUCGUGAGAUGUUGGGUUAAGUCCCGCAACGAGCGCAACCCUCGCCCUUAGUUGCCAGCAUUGAGUUGGGCACUCUAAGGGGACUGCCGGUGAUAAGCCGAGAGGAAGGUGGGGAUGACGUCAAGUCCUCAUGGCCCUUACGGGCUGGGCUACACACGUGCUACAAUGGUGGUGACAGUGGGCAGCGAGCACGCGAGUGUGAGCUAAUCUCCAAAAGCCAUCUCAGUUCGGAUUGCACUCUGCAACUCGAGUGCAUGAAGUUGGAAUCGCUAGUAAUCGCGGAUCAGCAUGCCGCGGUGAAUACGUUUCCCGGGCCUUGUACACACCGCCCGUCACACCAUGGGAGUUGGUUUUAUU